RNAcentral lists this transfer RNA (88 nucleotides) under Russula ochroleuca. It matches the Rfam family "tRNA". From Rfam's summary of the family: Transfer RNA (tRNA) molecules are approximately 80 nucleotides in length. Their secondary structure includes four short double-helical elements and three loops (D, anti-codon, and T loops). Lineage: Eukaryota; Fungi; Basidiomycota; Agaricomycetes; Russulales; Russulaceae. The record is from Rfam by way of RNAcentral. RNAcentral also lists the same sequence under 2 other names.
CCUUCGAUAGCUCAGUUGGAAGAGCGUGGGACUGUAAAGGAAACACUGUGCGAUCCCAAGGUCACUGGUUCGACCCCGGUUCGAAGGA